AAUGAACGUUGGCGGCGUGGAUUAGGCAUGCAAGUCGAGCGAGAACCCAGCAAUGGGGGACAGCGGCGCAAGGGACAGUAAUGUGUAGAUUAUCUGCCCUCAGGUCCGGGAUAGCUGCGGGAAACUGCAGGUAAUACCGGAUAACAUCUCCGGAUCAAAGGUGUGAUUCCGCCUGAGGAUGAGUCUACAUCCUAUUAGCUAGUUGGCAGGGUAAUGGCCUACCAAGGCGAUGAUGGGUAGCGGGUGUGAGAGCACGACCCGCGUCAUUGGGACUGAGACACUGCCCAGACACCUACGGGUGGCUG
RNAcentral lists this ribosomal RNA (305 nucleotides) under uncultured Planctomycetota bacterium. RNAcentral describes it as "bacterial SSU rRNA". It matches the Rfam family "Bacterial small subunit ribosomal RNA", at positions 29 to 351 of the family's 1533-position model. The record is from RNAcentral. Lineage: Bacteria; Pseudomonadati; Planctomycetota.